RNAcentral lists this ribosomal RNA (400 nucleotides) under Prosthama tessellata. RNAcentral describes it as "partial 12S ribosomal RNA". It matches the Rfam family "Microsporidia small subunit ribosomal RNA", at positions 751 to 1220 of the family's 1311-position model. Lineage: Eukaryota; Metazoa; Arthropoda; Insecta; Orthoptera; Phalangopsidae. The record is from RNAcentral.
UAUUAUAUUAGAUGUAAUUUAAUAAUACUGGAGUAGUAGUAGUUAAGGUCUUGAAACUCAAAGAAUUUGGCGGUAUUUUAGUCCUUUCAGAGGAAUCUGUCCUGUAAUUGACGAUACACGAUUAAUCUUUACUUCUUUUUGUUUUUCAGUUUGUAUAUCGCCGUCGUAAGAAUAUCUUGUGGAGAGGAUAAAAUUUCUUUAUAUUUAAUUAUAAUUUAUGUCAGGUCAAGGUGCAGUUUAUGGGGGAGAAGAGAUGGAUUACAAUAGCAUUAGUUAAACGGAUAAAAUUAAUAAUGGGUUUUUGAAGGUGGAUUUGAUUGUAAAUGUGAUGAAGAAUAUUAUGUUGAUUAAGGCUCUAAAAUGUGUACACAUCGCCCGUCGCUCUCGUAAUUAAUAUGAG